CGGAGUGGCGAACGGGUGAGUAAUAUAUCGGAACGUACCGAGUAAUGGGGGAUAACCAAUCGAAAGAUUGGCUAAUACCGCAUACGUCCUGAGGGAGAAAGCGGGGGAUCGCAAGACCUUGCGUUAUUCGAGCGGCCGAUAACUGAUUAGCUAGUUGGUGGGGUAAAGGCCUACCAAGGCGACGAUCAGUAGCGGGUCUGAGAGGACGAUCCGCCACACUGGGACUGAGACACGGCCCAG
This 240-nucleotide ribosomal RNA is filed under the name uncultured bacterium. RNAcentral's name for it is "partial 16S ribosomal RNA". It matches the Rfam family "Bacterial small subunit ribosomal RNA", at positions 91 to 334 of the family's 1533-position model. The record is from RNAcentral.